Molecule: RNA transcript, 1966 nt
Organism: Gastrolobium bilobum
Lineage: Eukaryota; Viridiplantae; Streptophyta; Magnoliopsida; Fabales; Fabaceae
Exons: 6
Source: RefSeq, a predicted model, not a curated record
UUGGUGCCAACAAAAAUUUCAUGCCGUUGAAAAUCUUUGGGAUUUGAGGUCCAGGGAGGGAUAAGUCGAUGCUGGUUUGACAGAGCCACCAAAGGAGGGAAAUUUCUGUUUGGAAAAUCUCUUUUCUCUCUAAAAAAAAAAAUGCUGCAGAAACUGUGUUUGAUGGCUUCACAUGGAUGUUCUCCAGGGCUUGUUUUGCAGCAAGAACUAGCCAUGGUUGGCAGCAUUAUGAAGGGUUGUCAACCGUUGUUGCCUUCUCCAGUAGCAAAACCUGAAAUUAUCAGAUAUCAGUCUCCCAGUCUUAGGCUAAAUCCGUCUGAGGUGUCAAGGAAAUCCCAGAAUGAGUGGUUCAAUUCCAAUCAGUUUGUCAACGUUGACUUGUCAGCUCAAAGGCCCAUGCAUAUUGAUGUUCAAGCAACUUGUCCAAGUCCAAUACUUUUCAGCUUUGGCAUCGUUGAACAAUGCACUGAGUGUGACAAUAUUUUGCAGUUUAUCAUGUCUGGGACUGCUGAAGCAGGGAUAGGUGGAGGUCAUUUAUCUUUGUUGUCUGACUUGAUGGAUUUGCAACUGUCAGGCAUUGAUGAACCUCAACAACUGUUGACACCUCUUAUCUACCCAAAUAGAAAAUUCUACAUCCCAAAGCCUUUGCUAGAUAUUUUUCAAGAUUCACCCCUUAGUUCGAAGAUCAAAGUUCAUCCAGAUGGUCAAGUAACAUUUAUGGGUACUGCGAUUGAGAUGAAAGAUCUUCUUUCUGUAGUUGCUGAGUCGCACCUAUCACAAAGCACACAUAAGAAUGAAAAACAGUCUAUGCUCGUUCCACACUUUAGUAGGCUGAAUAUCGAUGAAGUAGAGUCCAUACGUCAUUCCUCAACAUUGGAUAUUCAUUCUACAUUGACUGUUCCUUUAAGGAGCAGUCCUGAGAAAGUCAAAUUCAAGCCAUCACAAAAAAAGAACAAGAAAGUAACAAGGGAUAGGGAUCUCUACAAGAAGAACUACUUACAUGCAUGUGAGAGCCUUCUGUUCUUGAUGGUUAACAAGAGGCAACAUCGGAAAACAGCAAUUCUUUCACUGAAGAAAUCUGGCCCUGAGCUUCCUGAACUCCUCACACAAUUUUCUGCUGGCAUUGCUGGUACUGGCCUUGCUGUGCUGCUAUCUGUCAUAUGCAAGCUAGCUUGUGGAAGGGUUCCCUUGUGCGCGUCUAAGCUCUUCAACACAGGAUUCGGCUUUGGAUUGGUUUGGCUUUCUUGGGCAGUCAAUAAGCUAAGGGAUACAAUUGUCAGCACAAGCAAGAAUGUAGGAAAGUUAGGAUUGAAAGAUGAGGUAAUGAUUCAUAAGGUGGAUAAGAGCCUAAGAGAAGUUUACUUCAGAGCCGCAACAUUGCUAGCAGUGGCAGUGCUAAGGCUUGCUUGAGUUCUAUCUCCAAAGACGUGAGCACGUGCAGUUUGAAGAGCUUUAAGUGCUACAGUAGAUAGAGUAAUGUUUGGAACAGCCAUUGAAUGUCCAUGGCCAUGGCUUUUGGUGAAGUGAUUGCAAAGCAGAACAAUCUUGGUUUCAAAGCAAUUGAACCUUGUUGGAAGCACAAUAUUGUGGAUGUUUGGCUUGAUCAGCACUUGGCUGGUGUAGUUUAUCGGUUUUCAUUUGCACAAAAUCCGGAUAUCAGGGCGACCAAAAGAUGCAUAUCUUUGCAUGGAUUAUCACUGCAACAAGAUUUCAGCUCCCAGAAUUAUAUUCUCGAAAGCCAUAAUUAGUAAAUAUGUGCGUAGUUAAAUGAAGGCAUACUUGCUAGAACAUAACUCAUGUCAUAGACUAAUGAACUGAACAAGCAUGAUUUAGUGAUUUACUUGAAAGAAGGCAUCAUAUAAACACUAGGCAGGUGCAUUAAGGCAUGAUGUGAUGCUAGUGCUACUAAUGUUCAACAGAUAUAGCAAUAAUCUAAGAUAUGCAACUAAAUCAUGAAACGUUUUGU